UGAGGAAUAUUGGUCAAUGGGGGCAACCCUGAACCAGCCAAGUCGCGUGAAGGAUGAAGGUCUUAUGGAUUGUAAACUUCUUUUACACGGGAAUAAAGCGGGGGGCGUGUCCCUCUUUGCAUGUACCGUGUGAAUAAGGAUCGGCUAACUCCGUGCCAGCAGCCGCGGUAAUACGGAGGAUCCGAGCGUUAUCCGGAUUUAUUGGGUUUAAAGGGUGCGCAGGCGGGAUGUUAAGUCGGCGGUGAAAUUUUGCAGCUCAACUUUAAAAGUGCCUUCGAUACUGGCCUUGUUGAGUGUGGAUGAAGUAGGCGGAAUUUGUGGUGUAGCGGUGAAAUGCUUAGAUAUCACGAGGAACUCCGAUUGCGCAGGCAGCUUACUAAGCCACAACUGACGCUCAUGCACGAAGGCGUGGGGAUCAAACA
Molecule: ribosomal RNA, 422 nt
Filed under: uncultured bacterium
Lineage: Bacteria
Description: bacterial SSU rRNA
Rfam family: Bacterial small subunit ribosomal RNA
Source: RNAcentral